CCUACGGGAGGCAGCAGUGGGGAAUAUUUGGCAAUGGGCGCAAGCCUGACCCAGCAACGCCGCGUGAAGGAAGAAGGCUUUCGUGUUGUAAACUUCUUUUGUCAGGGAAGAAUAUAAGACGGUACCUGACGAAUAAGCCACGUCUAACUACGUGCCAGCAGCCGCUGUAAUACGUAGGUGUCACGCUUUAUCCGGAUGUACUGGGUGUAAAGGUCGUGUAGACGGGUUGACAAGUCCUAUGUGAAAUCCUGCGGCUUACCCGCCGAACUGCAUGUGAAACUGUUGAUCUUGAGUACUGGAGAGGCAGACGGAAUUCCUAGUGUAGCGGUGAAAGGCGUAGAUAUUAGGAGGAACACCAGUGGCGAAGGCGGGCUGCUGGACAGCAACUGACGGUGAGGCGCGAAAGCGUGGGGAGCAAACAGGAUUAGAUACCCUAGUAGUC
This 442-nucleotide ribosomal RNA is filed under the name uncultured bacterium. Its description in RNAcentral is "partial 16S ribosomal RNA". It matches the Rfam family "Bacterial small subunit ribosomal RNA", at positions 338 to 795 of the family's 1533-position model. The record is from RNAcentral.